Molecule: long non-coding RNA, 385 nt
Organism: Grus americana (Whooping crane)
Lineage: Eukaryota; Metazoa; Chordata; Aves; Gruiformes; Gruidae
Exons: 3
Source: RefSeq, a predicted model, not a curated record
GCUUUGGCUAACAGGGCAGAAGCAAUGCAACCACCUUACUCACAAUAAAAUGGCUGCAGAUGAUGGAACAUUGUAUUGUGAAAAGCAGCAAAUACAAAAAUAAUUCUUGAAAUAACUCAGCAGAAGGUGCUGGUACAAAGUCAGCUGAGGCCAAUGUAAGAGCAAUAUGAUGGGAGGCACAGAAUGGAUACCUCACAUUGUGAUGGUAUGGGAUGUCAUGGGUUCCACUUCUGGCUUAGCUGCACCCGUCCUUUGUGAUCUCAAUCUGGUUGUGUCUCUUGUGACUUGGAGCCACAUCUUUCUCCUGGACUAACUCUGCUGACUUUAAAAAAAAAAAAAAAAGAAAAAAAAGAAAAACAAACCAGCAGCUUCUCUAAAAAAGGAC